Molecule: ribosomal RNA, 292 nt
Filed under: uncultured bacterium
Lineage: Bacteria
Description: partial 16S ribosomal RNA
Rfam family: Bacterial small subunit ribosomal RNA
Source: RNAcentral
CCUAGCUAGCCGCGGUAAUACGGAGGGUGCGAGCGUUAAUCGGAAUUACUGGGCGUAAAGCGCAUGCAGGCGGCCUGUUAAGUCAGAUGUGAAAGCCCGGGGCUUAACCUCGGAAUUGCAUUUGAAACUGGCAGGCUAGAGUCUUGUAGAGGGGGGUAGAAUUUCAGGUGUAGCGGUGAAAAUGCGUAGAGAUCUGAAGGAAUACCAGUGGCGAAGGCGGCCCCCCUGGACAAAGACUGACGCUCAGAUGCGAAAAGCGUGGGGGAGCAAACAGGAUUAGAUACCCUGGUAG